RNAcentral lists this ribosomal RNA (430 nucleotides) under uncultured Euglenales. Its description in RNAcentral is "bacterial SSU rRNA". It matches the Rfam family "Bacterial small subunit ribosomal RNA", at positions 41 to 524 of the family's 1533-position model. Lineage: Eukaryota; Euglenozoa; Euglenophyceae; Euglenales. The record is from RNAcentral.
GGUAUGCUUAACACAUGAAGUUUAACGGCUUUUGCCGUGACGUACGGGUGAGUAACGCGUGAGUUAUCUACACUUAGAGGGGAAUAACAAAUGGAAACGUUUGCUAAUACCCCAUAAUGCUUACUAAAGUUAAAGUUAUUUCGCCUAGGUAUGAGCUUGCGUCCGAUUAGCUUGUUGGUAAGGUAAUGGCUUACAAGGCAACGAUCGGUAGUUGUUUCGAGAGAAAGAACAGCCACACUGGGACUGAGAUACGAACAGACUUCUACGGAAGGCAGCAGUGGGGAAUUUUUGGCAAUGGGUGAGAGCCUGACCAGCAAUACCGCGUGGAGGAAGAAGGUUUUAGGAUUGUAAACUCCUUUUUUCAUUGAAGAAAUAUGACGGUAAAUGAAGAAUAAGCAUCAGCUAAUUUCGUGCCAGCAGCCGCGGUAAU